This 253-nucleotide ribosomal RNA is filed under the name uncultured bacterium. Its description in RNAcentral is "partial 16S ribosomal RNA". It matches the Rfam family "Bacterial small subunit ribosomal RNA", at positions 524 to 776 of the family's 1533-position model. The record is from RNAcentral.
UACAGAGGUCCCAAGCGUUGUUCGGAUUCACUGGGCGUAAAGGGUGCGUAGGUGGCCUGGAAAGUUUGAUGUGAAAGCUCGGAGCUUAACUCCGAAAUGGCAUUGAAUACUACUGGGCUUGAGGGUCGGAGGGGAGACUGGAAUUCUCGGUGUAGCAGUGAAAUGCGUAGAUAUCUGGAGGAACACCGGUGGCGAAGGCGGCAUCCUGGACCGGCAUUGACGCUGAGGCGCGAAAGCCAGGGGAGCAAACGGG